CCUACGGGAGACAGCAGUGGGGAAUAUUGGGCAAUGGGCGCAAGCCUGACCCAGCAACGCCGCGUGAAGGAAGAAGGCUUUCGGGUUGUAAACUUCUUUUAAGAGGGAAGAGCAGAAGACGGUACCUCUUGAAUAAGCCACGGCUAACUACGGGCCAGCAGCCGCGGUAAUACGGAGGUGGCAAGCGGUGUCCGGAUUUACGGGGUGUAAAGGGCGUGCAGCCGGGAAGAAAAGUCAGAUGUGCAAUCCCGCGGCUCAACCGCGGAACUGCCUUGGAAACUGUUUUUCUUGAGUACCGGAGAGGUCAUCGUCAUUCCUUGUGUAGCGGUGCACUUCGUCGAUAUAAG
This 347-nucleotide ribosomal RNA is filed under the name uncultured bacterium. RNAcentral's name for it is "partial 16S ribosomal RNA". It matches the Rfam family "Bacterial small subunit ribosomal RNA", at positions 338 to 700 of the family's 1533-position model. The record is from RNAcentral.